CCUACGGGGUUGCAGCAGUGGGGAAUAUUGGACAAUGGGCGAAAGCCUGAUCCAGCCAUGCCGCGUGUGUGAAGAAGGCCUUCGGGUUGUAAAGCACUUUCAGUGGGGAAGAAAGCCUUGGGGCUAAUACCCUCGAGGAAGGACAUCACCCACAGAAGAAGCACCGGCUAACUCCGUGCCAGCAGCCGCGGUAAUACGGAGGGUGCGAGCGUUAAUCGGAAUUACUGGGCGUAAAGCGCGCGUAGGCGGUCUGAUAAGCCGGUUGUGAAAGCCCCGGGCUCAACCUGGGAACGGCAUCCGGAACUGUCAGGCUAGAGUGCAGGAGAGGAAGGUAGAAUUCCCGGUGUAGCGGUGAAAUGCGUAGAGAUCGGGAGGAAUACCAGUGGCGAAGGCGGCCUUCUGGACUGACACUGACGCUGAGGUGCGAAAGCGUGGGUAGCAAACAGGAUUAGAUACCCCUGUAGUC
This 466-nucleotide ribosomal RNA is filed under the name Vreelandella stevensii. Its description in RNAcentral is "partial 16S ribosomal RNA". It matches the Rfam family "Bacterial small subunit ribosomal RNA", at positions 338 to 795 of the family's 1533-position model. The record is from RNAcentral. Lineage: Bacteria; Pseudomonadati; Pseudomonadota; Gammaproteobacteria; Oceanospirillales; Halomonadaceae.